This 497-nucleotide ribosomal RNA is filed under the name uncultured bacterium. Its description in RNAcentral is "partial 16S ribosomal RNA". It matches the Rfam family "Bacterial small subunit ribosomal RNA", at positions 28 to 507 of the family's 1533-position model. The record is from RNAcentral.
GAUGAACGCUGGCGGCGUGCCUAAUACAUGCAAGUCGAGCGAACGGACGAGAAGCUUGCUUCUCUGAUGUUAGCGGCGGACGGGUGAGUAACACGUGGAUAACCUACCUAUAAGACUGGGAUAACUUCGGGAAACCGGAGCUAAUACCGGAUAAUAUUUUGAACCGCAUGGUUCAAAAGUGAAAGACGGUCUUGCUGUCACUUAUAGAUGGAUCCGCGCUGCAUUAGCUAGUUGGUAAGGUAACGGCUUACCAAGGCAACGAUGCAUAGCCGACCUGAGAGGGUGAUCGGCCAGACUGGAACUGAGACACGGUCCAGACUCCUACGGGGGGCAGCAGUAGGGAAUCUUCCGCAAUGGGCGAAAGCCUGACGGAGCAACGCCGCGUGAGUGAUGAAGGUCUUCGGAUCGUAAAACUCUGUUAUUAGGGAAGAACAUAUGUGUAAGUAACUGUGCACAUCUUGACGGUACCUAAUCAGAAAGCCACGGCUAACUACGUG